This is a long non-coding RNA of Rosa chinensis, 1567 nucleotides long. RefSeq lists it as uncharacterized. NCBI's taxonomy places the organism in Eukaryota, Viridiplantae, Streptophyta, Magnoliopsida, Rosales, Rosaceae. The transcript is spliced from 9 exons. The record is from RefSeq and is a predicted model, not a curated record.
UGCCCUGCUUCGAACUGAAGUGAGAUAGAGAUUCUACACCCACUCGACUUGGUUGCGCAGAACCAGAACCUGAGGAAGGAGAAGAAUCGCCCAGACUAUUUGGUUUGAUCCAUUCUGAGUCCUUGAUAUUACUCUGAAGAAGAAUCACCCAGAUGGUUUUGCUGCGUUUUGUGGAUGCAUGCAUGUCAUCUUCUUCGAAACCAAGCAUCAAUUUGAUCUGAAUUGGAUGCUUCUGCUCUAAGUUCAGGUUUUGAGGAAGAAGCUAUCUUCACCGUUGUGACUGCAGAAUGCGCUUUCUUGGAAAUUGUUCUUACUUGCCUCCGAUAUGCUUUGCCUUCUUAGUUAAGGUCAACCUCCUGAACUCAUUGUACGUUAUUGGUGGUGUGGCUGCUCUGCUUUUUGGACCGACAAGUUACCUGAAGUGGGCACUAUCAACAGCUUCCAAUAGACUAACAGAUUGAAAAACUGAAAGUGGAGCAAUCUAAGCUCUACUUGAGGAGAAAUGGGUUCAGACUGACUGGCAAUAUGGACAAGCUCAUUCAACAGAUUAAGGAGCAUUUAGAUUCUAGGGAUUUUGAAUGAUGGAGGUGAGAGGUGAGAAAAAAAGAGGAGAAAGUUGAUACAAGCAAGAAAGAAACUCCCCUAAUUGACAAGAAAGUUGACAAGGAUCUACUGCAGGUUCUUCGCCUGGAAUCAAGUCGGCCACAGUAGGAUAUGAGAUUGAUAAUCCAUAACUUGGGAAAUUUUCUCUCACACAAGGAUGUCAAGCUGUUCAAUUUCUGUGACACCGACUGGUCAGCAGUGUGGCACUGCGUCUUUGCUCCACAGAAGACAGUGUGUGACAGAAAGAAAGAGAGUGAGAGAGACAUAGCGAAGAAGUUUCAAACUUCUUUCAUAUUGCAAGAUCAGCAAGAUCCAAUAAACUGGUUGAUGUGAUUCCUCUACUAAUUAUAGCAAGCUUCAGAGUAACUGUUGUUAUAGAAGACGCGUCUGAUGAGGGCACUGUUAUUAUAAUGAGAAAACAAGAGCUUUUUGGAACUGCAUGCAAGGAUCUCAUCCUGAAGAAAAACUAUAAAGAUCCAUAAAUACUGCCACCAGAAAUCUUGCAAACAAGGGCAGAUUAAACUGCUGAACCUUAAACCAGGGACUGCACAAAACUUCAUCGUGAAAGGGGUAUUCCAUGACACUCAGCUAUUCCCUCCACCAGAGGAAAGUGGUCCUUUUAGUUCAACACCAGACCAAGUUUCAACAAUGAAAAAAAGGAACUUCCACUCAGUGAGGAAGCAGCUGUUUGCGUCAGUGCCUAACAAAAGUACAAAUAGUGACAGCCCCUCAAAUGAGAACGACGCAACAGACAUGACGGAAUCAACUGAAGACACAUCAAGAGGAGUUGAUGCAAAUAGUUGGUUCUAACUACAAACAUAACACUUGCUAGGCCUAACCAUUUUUUAAAAUAUGUACAUAAAAACCUACUUUGGUUUGCAUAUCUGGUUAACAUAUCAGAUUUUGGAACCUGAAGAGGAUAUUUUAGUUAUUUAUUUAAUGUUUCGGACGUUUGAAAUUGAUA